Molecule: ribosomal RNA, 2938 nt
Filed under: Sutcliffiella tianshenii
Lineage: Bacteria; Bacillati; Bacillota; Bacilli; Caryophanales; Bacillaceae
Description: Bacillus tianshenii 23S ribosomal RNA
Rfam family: Bacterial large subunit ribosomal RNA
Source: RNAcentral
GGUUAAGUUAGAAAGGGCGCACGGUGGAUGCCUUGGCACUAGGAGCCGAUGAAGGACGAGACUAACAUCGAUAUGCUUCGGCGAGCUGUAAGUAAGCGUUGACCCGGAGAUUUCCGAAUGGGGAAACCCACUGUCCGUAAUGGGGCAGUAUCAUCAUCUGAAUCCAUAGGGUGAUGAAGGCAGACCCGGGGAACUGAAACAUCUAAGUACCCGGAGGAAGAGAAAGCAAACGCGAUUUCCCGAGUAGCGGCGAGCGAAACGGAAACAGCCCAAACCAAGAGGCUUGCCUCUUGGGGUUGUAGGACGUUCCACAUGGAGUUACAAAGGAACAGGAUAAGUGAAGCGGCCUGGAAAGGCCGGCCACAGAAGGUAACAGCCCUGUAGCUGAAAUCCUGUUCUCUCCGGAGCGGAUCCUGAGUACGGCGGAACACGUGAAAUUCCGUCGGAAGCAGGGAGGACCAUCUCCCAAGGCUAAAUACUCCCUAGUGACCGAUAGUGAACCAGUACCGUGAGGGAAAGGUGAAAAGCACCCCUGACGGGGAGUGAAAAAGAUCCUGAAACCGUGUGCCUACAAGUAGUCGGAGCCCAUUAACGGGUGACGGCGUGCCUUUUUGUAGAAUGAACCGGCGAGUUACGAUCUCGUGCAAGGUUAAGUCGGAAAGACGGAGCCGCAGCGAAAGCGAGUCUGAACAGGGCGAUAUAGUACGUGGUCGUAGACCCGAAACCGAGUGAUCUACCCAUGUCCAGGGUGAAGUUCAGGUAACACUGAAUGGAGGCCCGAACCCACGCACGUUGAAAAGUGCGGGGAUGAGGUGUGGGUAGGGGUGAAAUGCCAAUCGAACUCGGAGAUAGCUGGUUCUCCCCGAAAUAGCUUUAGGGCUAGCCUCAAGGGAAGAGUCUUGGAGGUAGAGCACUGAUUGGAUGAGGGCCCCCAACGGGUUACCGAGUUCAGUCAAACUCCGAAUGCCUCCGAAUGCCAUGACUUAUCCUUGGGAGUCAGACUGCGAGUGAUAAGGUCCGUAGUCGAGAGGGAAACAGCCCAGACCACCAGCUAAGGUCCCUAAGUAUACGUUAAGUGGAAAAGGAUGUGGAGUUGCCCAGACAACCAGGAUGUUGGCUUAGAAGCAGCCACCAUUUAAAGAGUGCGUAAUAGCUCACUGGUCGAGUGACUCUGCGCCGAAAAUAUACCGGGGCUAAACGUAUCACCGAAGCUGUGGAUGUUCCGUUGGAACAUGGUAGGGGAGCGUUCUAAGCGCUUUGAAGCCAGACCGUAAGGACUGGUGGAGUACUUAGAAGUGAGAAUGCCGGUAUGAGUAGCGAAAAGACAAGUGAGAAUCUUGUCCAUCGAAAGCCUAAGGUUUCCUGAGGAAGGCUCGUCCGCUCAGGGUUAGUCGGGACCUAAGCCGAGGCCGAAAGGCGUAGGCGAUGGCCAACAGGUUGAAAUUCCUGUACCACCUCCUCACCAUUUGAGCAAUGGGGGGACGCAGGAAGGUAGGGUGAGCACGCCACUGGAUGUGCGUGUCCAAGCCGUUAGGCUGACAACGAGGCAAAUCCCGUUGUCAUAAGGCUGAGCGGUGAUGGCGAGGGAAAUUUUAGUACCGAAGUCCCUGAUCCUACACUGCCAAGAAAAGCCUCUAGCGAGGUGAGAGGUGCCCGUACCGCAAACCGACACAGGUAGGCGAGGAGAGAAUCCUAAGAUGAGCGGGAAAACUCUGGUUAAGGAACUCGGCAAAAUGACCCCGUAACUUCGGGAGAAGGGGUGCUCUUUGGGGUUUAUAGCCCCGAAGAGCCGCAGUGAAUAGGCCCAAGCGACUGUUUAGCAAAAACACAGGUCUCUGCGAAGCCGCAAGGCGAAGUAUAGGGGCUGACACCUGCCCGGUGCUGGAAGGUUAAGAGGAGGGGUUAUCCUCACGGAGAAGCUCUGAAUCGAAGCCCCAGUAAACGGCGGCCGUAACUAUAACGGUCCUAAGGUAGCGAAAUUCCUUGUCGGGUAAGUUCCGACCCGCACGAAAGGUGCAACGACUUGGGCACUGUCUCAACCAGAGACCCGGUGAAAUUAUACUAUGCGUGAAGAUGCGCAUUACCCGCGACAGGACGGAAAGACCCCGUGGAGCUUUACUGCAGCCUGAUAUUGAAUUUUGGUACAGCUUGUACAGGAUAGGCAGAAGCCUUGGAAGCGUGAGCGCCAGCUUACGUGGAGGCGCUGGUGGGAUACUGCCCUUGCUGUAUUGAAAUUCUAACCCUGAGCCGUUAUCCGGCUCGGAGACAGUGUCAGGUAGGCAGUUUGACUGGGGCGGUCGCCUCCCAAAAGGUAACGGAGGCGCCCAAAGGUUCCCUCAGAAUGGUUGGAAAUCAUUCGCAGAGUGUAAAGGCACAAGGGAGCUUGACUGCGAGACCUACAAGUCGAGCAGGGACGAAAGUCGGGCUUAGUGAUCCGGUGGUUCCGCAUGGAAGGGCCAUCGCUCAACGGAUAAAAGCUCCCGGGGAUAACAGGCUUAUCUCCCCAAGAGUCCACAUCGACGGGGAGGUUUGGCACCUCGAUGUCGGCUCAUCGCAUCCUGGGGCUGUAGUCGGUCCCAAGGGUUGGGCUGUUCGCCCAUUAAAGCGGUACGCGAGCUGGGUUCAGAACGUCGUGAGACAGUUCGGUCCCUAUCCGUCGUGGGCGCAGGAAAUUUGAGAGGAGCUGUCCUUAGUACGAGAGGACCGGGAUGGACACACCGCUGGUGUACCAGUUGUUCCGCCAGGAGCAUCGCUGGGUAGCUACGUGUGGACGGGAUAAGUGCUGAAAGCAUCUAAGCAUGAAGCCCCCCUCAAGAUGAGAUUUCCCAUAGCGUCAAGCUAGUAAGAUCCCUCAGAGAUGAUGAGGUAGAUAGGUUCGGGGUGGAAGCGUGGCGACACGUGCAGCUGACGAAUACUAAUCGAUCGAGGACUUAACCAA